RNAcentral lists this ribosomal RNA (486 nucleotides) under Klebsiella pneumoniae. RNAcentral's name for it is "partial 23S ribosomal RNA". It matches the Rfam family "Bacterial large subunit ribosomal RNA", at positions 690 to 1173 of the family's 2925-position model. Lineage: Bacteria; Pseudomonadati; Pseudomonadota; Gammaproteobacteria; Enterobacterales; Enterobacteriaceae. The record is from RNAcentral.
GGGCGUUAAGUUGCAGGGUAUAGACCCGAAACCCGGUGAUCUAGCCAUGGGCAGGUUGAAGGUUGGGUAACACUAACUGGAGGACCGAACCGACUAAUGUUGAAAAAUUAGCGGAUGACUUGUGGCUGGGGGUGAAAGGCCAAUCAAACCGGGAGAUAGCUGGUUCUCCCCGAAAGCUAUUUAGGUAGCGCCUCGUGAACUCAUCUUCGGGGGUAGAGCACUGUUUCGGCUAGGGGGUCAUCCCGACUUACCAACCCGAUGCAAACUACGAAUACCGAAGAAUGUUAUCACGGGAGACACACGGCGGGUGCUAACGUCCGUCGUGAAGAGGGAAACAACCCAGACCGCCAGCUAAGGUCCCAAAGUCAUGGUUAAGUGGGAAACGAUGUGGGAAGGCACAGACAGCCAGGAUGUUGGCUUAGAAGCAGCCAUCAUUUAAAGAAAGCGUAAUAGCUCACUGGUCGAGUCGGCCUGCGCGGAAGAUGU